Molecule: ribosomal RNA, 253 nt
Filed under: uncultured bacterium
Lineage: Bacteria
Description: partial 16S ribosomal RNA
Rfam family: Bacterial small subunit ribosomal RNA
Source: RNAcentral
UACGUAGGGUGCAAGCGUUAAUCGGAAUUACUGGGCGUAAAGCGCACGUAGGCGGCUUUCUAAGUCGGAGGUGAAAUCCUGGAGCUCAACUCCAGAACUGCCUUCGAUACUGGAGAGCUUGAGUCCGGGAGAGGUGAGUGGAACUGCGAGUGUAGAGGUGAAAUUCGUAGAUAUUGGGUGGAACACCGGUGGCGAAGGCGGCUCACUGGUCCGGUUCUGACGCUGAGGCGCGAAAGCGUGGGGAGCAAACAGG